UAAGACUCAUUUUUCUCCCAAGUGCUUGUAAACUUAACAUCACUGCCUUCCUCUGCCACAAACUAUGUCCUUACAUCAUGUAAAGAACAGAAAACCUGAGUGGUUUGUCAGCUGCUUGUAUUCCUGUCAGGAAAAUGACAUCUCUCAAUUAUCUUCCAGUAAGUAUCACCCAUAGCACGUGCUUCCUUUGCCAUUCCCUUGCAAGAUGGAAUAUUUUUAUGGCUCUUGAGGAAAAACUGUUGUGCUUGAGCUAAAUUCAAGGUUAGCAAACCUUCCUAAUCCCAGCAGCCAAUCAGUUUUUUUUACAGAGGGUUCUCCCUCCAAAAGGGGCAAUGUCAGUCGAGGAGAGACCCUGUCUGUCCUGAUCUUGUUGUAUCAAAAUAUUUACUUAGUUAUCACGUGGUGGCAAUCUUCCAUUAUGCAAGAUUGCAAAGUCAUUAUGGGUAUUGUAUAGGUGAGAAAAGAGUUACUUAUCUAUGGUAAAUUGCUUUACUGAGAUAAAUUGCAUUUUCUCUUGGUCUAUUUUGGUAUCUUCAUCUACUAGUGGUGAUAGUGUUGGGCUGGGAAGUACUAAUAGCUGCUAUCAGGUUUGAAGGAGUCAAACAACAUGUGGGAUGAAUGCCAGUGAAAUUCAGAGAGGUUACUGUGGCUUUCCAGCUCAGGAAGCUACAAAGUCUUCAGCAGCACUGAAUCCAAAGCAGUCUUGCUAUGGGGCGCAUGCUUCUCCACAAACAUUUAAAUUAUAAAGAUCUUCAGGAUAUGCCUCUGAGGUGUGUUGUUUCCCUUCUAGAAUCCCAGUGCUCAGGGGAAGCUGCUUGUACCAGCCACAUACAGAAAAGCAGCCUGGGAAUCUGGACUGUGAUUUUAGUUUGAAGGAAAUAUGGAUCAAAGGAAACUGCUCUCACAGCCAGAGAUCAUAAUUGUACAAAGUCACGGUAUAUUCCUGAUGACUUCGGUAGCUCCAAAGGAUUUGACUGACAUCAGAAAAUCCAUAUGAUACAAGUUCCAAGUGCCCCAUCCAGGUGAACUUUAUACUGCUGUCACCAUUCUCAUAAGAGGCCUUUGGGAGCUACUUCUGAUCCUGGAACAAGAGGCAAAACUGCUCUGGUUUGGCUUAUUCACCUCCCAGAAGACCCUGCUUGGAAACAGAAUUCCCAGGAUCAGUGGGAUGUUGUUUAACAAACGGAGACGGCUAUGUUCUAGUCCACUACAGGAUCAACAGUGAAAUCUUGCUGGCCUCUAUGCAUCUACCUUAAUGGCUUAAAACCUUUAAGAUAUGACUUGAAGUGAGGUGUAUAAGCCCACAGUUGCAAUCCCACCAAAUCUUUCUCAGCUGUAGUGAUACCUUCUGCUAUUUACAUUUAAAUUCCAAGUAAAAUUCUUGACCAGGUGUGUUAUUAGAAGUGCUUCAAGUUGAGCAGCUGAACAUUACUUUUCCAGGAAAGCCUGGUUUGGUCUUCAGAGGGACCCAACCUGUUGAGUGUUCUCAGGGUCAGAUCCUUGCCAUAUACUCGCUGUCUCCUUGGGCUUCUUGCGAAGUAUUCCUAAGCUUGUCGUCUGCUUGUCUUUAGAGAUAACCUUCACCCACUUUUUUUUUUUUUCUUUCAAAUUAACAGUCUCCUGAUUUGUUUCCACUUCCUUCUGACAAUGAAAAUGUCCUCUUCCUCAACUGAUCAUUACAUGUAAAUCAUGGUCCCUUAGUAGGGACCAGAUCCUGACUCUCUUCUCUGUUAAGUAACUGCCCAAUUGCAAAGACAUCAGCUCACUGAAAAUGCUUUUCUUUGCCAAAGCAAAACAAAUCUGGUAGUGCCAAAGGCACUCAAUUUCUAAAAGGUAUUCCAGAACAGCAACCACCUCAUAAUAAAGCACUCAAAUACAUUUUUCAAAACCUAGUGAAGUAACACUGCAUAUAUGAAGCAUAAUUCAGCAGACAAGGAGGAUUACACUAUUUUGAUUUUAUUAGCUAACUUCUCUUUUAGAUUGAAGUAUCCAAAGAUGACAUAAAGACUUUUGACCAAAAAUAAACAAACAAACAAAAACACAAAACCUAAAAAACAAAGGGCUUUCUAUCAAAGUUUUUAUGUUUUCCAGUGGGUGUUCAUUUCUUUCACAGUAGCACAAAUCUCCAAAAGGACCAAACACCACAAAAGAUGUCAGUGUCUAGGUCGUGGAUGACAGGUAUCUUCUCAGUACUGAAAGUACAGGUGUUUUGAAAUAAUACCUA
Long non-coding RNA from Oxyura jamaicensis (ruddy duck), 2224 nucleotides. RefSeq lists it as uncharacterized. The transcript has 4 exons. The record is from RefSeq and is a predicted model, not a curated record. NCBI's taxonomy places the organism in Eukaryota, Metazoa, Chordata, Aves, Anseriformes, Anatidae.